CACAAGCGUGGAUGAUGUGGAUUAAUUCGAUGCAACGCGAAAACCUUACUACCCUUGACAUGUCCGGAAUCCUGCAGAGAUGCGGGAGUGCCCGAAAGGGAAUCGGAACACAGGUGCUGCAUGGCUGUCGUCAGCUCGUGUCGUGAGAUGUUGGGUUAAGUCCCGCAACGAGCGCAACCCUUAUCAUUAGUUGCUACGCAAGGGCACUCUAAUGAGACUGCCGGUGACAAACCGGAGGAAGGUGGGGAUGACGUCAAGUCCUCAUGGCCCUUAUGGGUAGGGCUUCACACGUCAUACAAUGGUCGGUACAGAGGGUUGCCAAGCCGCGAGGUGGAGCCAAUCCCAGAAAGCCGAUCGUAGUCCGGAUUGUUCUCUGCAACUCGAGAGCAUGAAGUCGGAAUCGCUAGUAAUCGCGGAUCAGCAUGUCGCGGUGAAUACGGUUCCCGGGUCUU
RNAcentral lists this ribosomal RNA (452 nucleotides) under uncultured Thiobacillus sp. RNAcentral's name for it is "bacterial SSU rRNA". It matches the Rfam family "Bacterial small subunit ribosomal RNA", at positions 924 to 1382 of the family's 1533-position model. Lineage: Bacteria; Pseudomonadati; Pseudomonadota; Betaproteobacteria; Nitrosomonadales; Thiobacillaceae. The record is from RNAcentral.